Nilaparvata lugens (brown planthopper) is the source of this 611-nucleotide long non-coding RNA. RefSeq lists it as uncharacterized. The transcript has 3 exons. NCBI's taxonomy places the organism in Eukaryota, Metazoa, Arthropoda, Insecta, Hemiptera, Delphacidae. The record is from RefSeq and is a predicted model, not a curated record.
AUAAGUUCACUUAACUCUUCUCUAACGUAAAUGGUGAUUUUCCUCUGAGGCAACUGAUUUUAUACCAAGUCGUUUCUCUGUCUGUUGCAGGCUUGUACAAGUGAGACAGAGCAUACGAGGGGGCGUGUGCAAUUGGAGCAUGCUGUACUUAACUCCCCAGAGGUUUACCACCAGCACAACGCAGACAUUUGAUUCAUUUUCUCACCUCACAACUCGGUUUCCGGUCUCAUAAGCAGUUGUGCUCUCGUGAGGGAAACAUACCUGAGCUGAGACAAGCAUAGCCGAGGAGCUAGCUAAGCUGAGACGAUACCUGAGCUGAGACAACCACAGUCGAGGAGCUACCUGAGCUGAGAGAAGCAUAGCCGAGGAGAUAGCAAAGCUGAGACAACCACAGUCGAGGAGCUACCUGAGCUGAGAGAAGCAUAGCCGAGGAGAUAGCUGUCAUUUUGUCAAAUCAACCCAUGUCAUCUCACUUUACCGACAUUAAUGGUUUCUUGGUUGCAAUCCAUAAAUCAUUCCAAAACUGCAUUCUCUACACAAAUUGACGAAAUUAUACUGAUAAGAUGAAUGAACCACCGAAGAGCCUGAUUAUCAUUUGGAAAUUCCUAAUU